GACGAACGCUGGCGGCGUGCUUAACACAUGCAAGUCGAACGGAAAGGCCCUGCUUUUGUGGGGUGCUCGAGUGGCGAACGGGUGAGUAACACGUGAGUAACCUGCCCUUGACUUUGGGAUAACUUCAGGAAACUGGGGCUAAUACCGGGUAGGAGCUCCUGCUGCAUGGUGGGGGUUGGAAAGUUUCGGCGGUUGGGGAUGGACUCGCGGCUUAUCAGCUUGUUGGUGGGGUAGUGGCUUACCAAGGCUUUGACGGGUAGCCGGCCUGAGAGGGUGACCGGCCACAUUGGGCCUGCGAUACGGCCCAGACUCCUACGGGAGGCAGCAGUGGGGAAUAUUGCACAAUGGGCGGAAGCCUGAUGCAGCAACGCCGCGUGCGGGAUGCCGUCCUUCGGGUUGUAAACCGCUUUCGCCUGUGCCGAAGCGUGAGUGACGGUAAUGGGUAAAGAAGCACCGGCUAACUACGUG
This 468-nucleotide ribosomal RNA is filed under the name uncultured bacterium. Its description in RNAcentral is "partial 16S ribosomal RNA". It matches the Rfam family "Bacterial small subunit ribosomal RNA", at positions 28 to 507 of the family's 1533-position model. The record is from RNAcentral.